CGCACGCCUCUCUCUCUCCCCUUUCCCCGCCUGGAUCGGGGCAGAGGGCCUCGACCCCUUCGCCACGCCGCCGCCGAGCCUGCGGCCACUACGCCGGAGCCCGCCCUCGCCGCGACGCCCUCUCGCCCCUACGCCGCCCGUCCACACCGCCCCAUCCCCUCCGCCCCCGAUCUGGAACUCGGGCUCGGCCCUGACGCCACCGCCGCGCGGAGCUCGCCGUCGUCCGCCCCGUCCUCUCCCUCGCCGGAGCCGCCCAUCGUCACCGUCGUCGUCUACCUCGUCCUCCUCCUCGAGCACACUGCCGUUCCCCUACACCGCAAACCCCGUGACGAUGCUGAUGCCCCUGUGGUCGACUACGUCACUGACGACCCCUCCUUGUCUGAGCAACCAGAUGCUGGAGUCCAGGAGCUAGAGAUCCCGAGGAUGAUUCUACAUGGAGUUCGGCUUCGAGGAGUAGUUAGGAGGUCCCAGGCAGGAGGCCUUGCCUUUUCGAUCGUUGCUAC
This 503-nucleotide ribosomal RNA is filed under the name Triticum aestivum (bread wheat). RNAcentral describes it as "partial small subunit ribosomal RNA". The record is from RNAcentral. Lineage: Eukaryota; Viridiplantae; Streptophyta; Magnoliopsida; Poales; Poaceae.